ACAGAGGGGAUCUGCACUUUCGGCCAUAGAGGGCCUCAAAUGCAACUACCUUUAUGCUUGUAUGAUAACUAUUGUUGUAGGAAAAUUCAACAAGGGGUAAAUGGGUAUCCCAAUCUUUUACAAAGUCAAUAACGCAAGCACACAACAUGUCUUCCAAGGUUUGGAUAGUUCUCUCACUUUGUCCGUCGGUCUGUGGAUGGUAGGUUGUACUCAUGUCCAGCCUAGUUCCUAGGGAACUUUGUAAUGACUGCCAGAACCUCGAAGUGAAUCUACUAUCUCUGUCCGAGAUGAUAGAUAAAGGAACACCGUGCAGCCUUACAAUCUCCCUAAUGUAAGUUCUGGUAAGUUUCUCCAUCUUGUCUGUUUCUUUGAUCGGUAGGAAGUGUGCAGACUUGGUCAGUCUAUCGACGAUGACCCAUAUGGAAUCAAGUCCACCCAUCGUCUUGGGCAACUUGGUUAUGAAGUCCAUAGUGAUCCGCUCCCACUUCCAUUCCGGUAUCUCCGGUUGUUGUAGAAGACCGGAGGGUUUCUGGUAUUCGACCUUGACCUUUGCGCAAGUAAGGCAUUUACUCACGAAGGUAGCAAUAUCUGCUUUCAUGUUAGGCCACCAGUAUAACUUUUUAAGAUCCAGAUACAUCUUAUCUGAACCCGGGUGGACGGAAUAACGAGUGUUGUGAGCUUCGGUCAUGACCAAGUCUCUGAAGCCACCGUGUUUCGGUGUCCAGAUCCGAUCCAUGAGGUAUAAGGCUCCGCCACCCUUGACUUCCAAGUUCUUAUCCAUCCCUCUAAGGGAUUCACCCGCCACGUUUUCAGGUUUCAAAGCGUCGAGCUGAGCCUCCUUUAUUUGCGUGGACAAGUGUGAAUGGAUAGUUAGAGUCAAAGAUUUGACUCUACGACCAGUAUAUUCUUUCCGACUUAGGGCGUCGUCUACUACAUUGGCUUUACCCGGAGGAUAACGAAUUUCGCACUCGUAAUCACUGAGUAGCUCGACCCACCGUCGUUGUCUCAUGUUGAGCUCUUUCUGGUCGAAAAUGUGUUGUAGACUCUUAUGGUCUGUAAAGAUCAUGCUUCUUGUACCAUCUAGGUAAUGUCGCAAGAUCUUCAGAGCAAACACAACUGCUCCUAGCUCAAGAUCGUGGGUGGUAUAGUUAACCUCAUGCGUCUUCAUCUGUCUCGAGGCAUAGGCUAUGACCUUACCUCGCUGCAUCAGAACACAUCCGAGUCCUUGAUUGGAUGCAUCACAAUAGACAAUGAAUUCUUCUAUCCCUUCGGGGAGGGAUAGCAUCGGGGCGGUGCACAAGGCUCGUUUGAGCAUUUGGAAUGCUCUUUCCUGCUUCUCUUCCCAGUCAAAGGCCACGCCUUUCUGGGUCAGGGUUGUCAGAGGUUUCGCUAUGCUGGAGAAGUUCUGAAUGAACCUGCGAUAGUAGCCAGCGAGACCUAGAAAUUGACGAAUUUUUGUAGGUGUCUUCGGUGCUGACGAGUUCUCAAUGGCCUUGAUUUUGGAGGGGUCCAUGUGUAUUUCCUCUUUGCUAACAACAUGGCCCAAAAAUUCGACUCGUCGAAUCCAAAAUUCACAUUUGGAGAACUUCGCAUAGAGCUUAUUCACUUCAAAUGUUUCUAAGAUUCUACGGAGAUGUGGACUAUGCUCCUGCUUACUUCGAGAGUAGAAGAGUAUGUCAUCAAUGAAGACGAUGAUGAACUGAUCCAAGUAAGGACGACAUACCGUAUUCAUCAGAUCCAUGAAUACUGCGGGCGCGUUGGUUAAUCCGAACGGCAUCACUAGAAACUCGUAGUGCCCAUAACGAGUUCGGAAGGUUGUGUUGGGAACAUCCUCCUCUAACACUCGUAGUUGGUGAUAUCCGGAUCGUAGAUCUAUCUUCGAGAAGUAGUUGGCUCCUUGAAGUUGAUCAAAUAAAUCGUCAAUGCGGGGCAAGGGAUAACGAUUUUUAAUGGUAAGUUUUUUGAGCUCUCUAUAGUCGAUGCACAUGCGAAAUGAUCCAUCUUUCUUCUUGACAAACAAGAACGGUGCUCCCCAUGGUGAGAAGCUUGGUCAAAUGAAUCCCUUCUUGAGAAGUUCGUUAUGUUGACUAGAAAGUUCCUGCAUCUCGGCUGGUGCCAGACAUUAAGGAGAUUUGGCUACUGGGAUAGCUCCUGGCACUAAGUCGAUUCUGAACUCGACUUGGCGUUGCGGUGGUAAACCCGGAAGUUCUUCUGGGAAGAUGUUGGGGAAGUCGCGUACUUCUGGGAUGCUCUGGAUGUCUUUCAGUUCUUGACUAGUAUCGACGACGUGUGCGAGGAAUGCAUGAUAUUCCUUCCGCAAGCACUUCUGGGCUUGAAUGCACGAUAUGAUGUGAAGGCUCGUACUAGGUUUGUCGCCAUAGAUAACUAAAGUUUCGUUGUUAGGAUGGUUAAGACGGACUGCUUUUUCAAAGCACAUGAUGUCGGCGCGAAGGAGACUCAACCAAUCCAUGCCGAUGAUAACGUCGAAACAUUUAAUUGGGACUGGCAUGAGAUUUAUCUUGAAAGUAUGGCCAUCUAAAGUUAAGGUACAACCUACGUAUAUGCAGUUAGUAAUCUCUGUUUUCCCGUUAGCCAUUUCUACCGUGAAUGAACUAUCUAAUGCACAUGGUUUUUGUUUAAGCAGGUGUGCAAAUUUGUGACUUACAAAACUUUUCUCUGCUCCACUAUCGAAAAGUAUGCAAGCAUAUGAGUUAUCGAGGAGAAACGUACCAGUAACUAUCGUAGGAUCAGCUACCGCUUCCUCGUGGCCUAGGGCCAUAACUCUUCCUACUCCUCNNNNNNNNNNNNNNNNNNNNNNNNNNNNNNNNNNNNNNNNNNNNNNNNNNNNNNNNNNNNNNNNNNNNNNNNNNNNNNNNNNNNNNNNNNNNNNNNNNNNGCGUAGCUUUUCUGUCGGUCUCUAGAGGCUUUUAAUCGUUCACGAAUUUGAACGAUCUUCUCUGUCGUUUCCCGAAUGAUCUCCGGACCCGUGAGAGUGCUUUCGGGAACUCGUCCCUUAGCUAACUGGGUAUCACCCACUUCAGCCCAGCACAGAGGGGAUCUGCACUUUCGGCCAUAGAGGGCCUCGAAUGGAGCUGCCUUUAUGCUCGUAUGAUAACUGUUGUUGUAGGAAAAUUCAACAAGGGGUAAAUGAGUAUCCCAAGCUUUUCCAAAGUCAAUCACACAGGCACGCAACAUAUCUUCUAAGGUUUGGAUAGUUCUCUCACUUUGCCCGUCGGUCUGUGGAUGGUAGGCUGUACUCAUGUCCAGCCUAGUUCCUAGGGAACUUUGUAAUGACUGCCAGAACCUCGAAGUGAAUCUACUAUCUCGGUCUGAGAUGAUAGAUAAAGGAACACCGUGCAGCCUUACAAUCUCCCUAAUGUAAGUUCUGGUAAGUUUCUCCAUCUUGUCUGUUUCUUUGAUCGGUAGGAAGUGUGCAGACUUGGUCAGUCUAUCGACGAUGACCCAUAUGGAAUCAAGUCCACCCGUCGUCUUGGGCAACUUGGUUAUGAAGUCCAUAGUGAUCCGCUCCCACUUCCAUUCUGGUAUCUCCGGUUGUUGUAGAAGACCGGAGGGUUUCUGGUAUUCGACCUUGACCUUUGCGCAAGUAAGGCAUUUACUCACGAAGGUAGCAAUAUCUGCUUUCAUGUUAGGCCACCAGUAUAACUUUUUAAGAUCCAGAUACAUCUUAUCUGAACCCCGGUGGACGGAAUAACGAGUGUUGUGAGCUUCGUUCAUGACCAAGUCUCUGAAGCCACCGUGUUUUGGUGUCCAGAUCCGAUCCAUGAGGUAGAAGGCUCCGCCACCCUCGACUUCUAAGUUCUUAUCCAUCCCUCUAAGGGAU
This 3841-nucleotide long non-coding RNA is filed under the name Lactuca sativa (garden lettuce). Its description in RNAcentral is "long non-coding RNA (LSAT_LNC003975)". The record is from RNAcentral. Lineage: Eukaryota; Viridiplantae; Streptophyta; Magnoliopsida; Asterales; Asteraceae.